ACAAUACAUGCAGCCCAAAACAGAGACUGACUUCCACAGCUAUAAAAGAAUAGAACAACAAUUAUAAACACGUGCAAAAAACAGACGCAUCUAACCGUUUUUGUUCAGUAGAUUUAUCAAUACACGCAAGAUGUUAGUGACUUUUCUGUUGGCGGCUGGUGUUGUCUUAAGUUUGAGCCAGGCCUUCAUUUGUCCGCCGAAAUUCUGCAACAGCUUCCACUGUCCUCGAGUCAGCAAGAAAACUUGCCAAGGGAAAUACGUCCCCCAGGGGUCCCGCUGUGGUUGCUGUGAUAUUUGCCUGCCAAUCAAAAAUGUAGGACCAGGGGACAGAUGUUCGACUGAGAUUAGAUUAAAAAAAAAGUACAAGCUCUGUCCUGAAGGAUACUACUGUCAGCUAACCAAAGAGAUUUGUUCACCCGUCACAUAAA
This is a long non-coding RNA of Physella acuta, 428 nucleotides long. RefSeq lists it as uncharacterized. NCBI's taxonomy places the organism in Eukaryota, Metazoa, Mollusca, Gastropoda, Physidae. The record is from RefSeq and is a predicted model, not a curated record.